This 655-nucleotide ribosomal RNA is filed under the name uncultured bacterium. Its description in RNAcentral is "bacterial SSU rRNA". It matches the Rfam family "Bacterial small subunit ribosomal RNA", at positions 104 to 773 of the family's 1533-position model. The record is from RNAcentral.
GGGUGAGUAACGCGUAAGGAACUUGCCUCUUGGACUGGGACAACUGUUGGAAACGACAGCUAAUACCGGAUAUUAUGAGAUUCUCGCAUGAGAAACUUAUGAAAGCUAUAUGCGCCAAGAGAGAGCCUUGCGUUCCAUUAGCUAGUUGGUGGGGUAACGGCCCACCAAGGCGACGAUGGAUAGCCGGCCUGAGAGGGUGAACGGCCACAAGGGGACUGAGACACGGCCCUUACUCCUACGGGAGGCAGCAGUGGGGAAUAUUGGACAAUGGGCCACAAGCCUGAUCCAGCAAUUCUGUGUGCACGAUGAAGGUCUUCGGAUUGUAAAGUGCUUUCAGUUGGGAAGAAGAAAGUGACGGUACCAACAGAAGAAGCGACGGCUAAAUACGUGCCAGCAGCCGCGGUAAUACGUAUGUCGCAAGCGUUAUCCGGAUUUAUUGGGCGUAAAGCGCGUCUAGGCGGAAAAAUAAGUCUGAUGUUAAAAUGCGGGGCUCAACUCCGUAUUGCGUUGGAAACUGUUUUUCUAGAGUACUGGAGAGGUGGGCGGAACUACAAGUGUAGAGGUGAAAUUCGUAGAUAUUUGUAGGAAUGCCGAUGGAGAAGUCAGCUCACUGGACAGAUACUGACGCUGAAGCGCGAAAGCGUGGGGAGCAAAC